RNAcentral lists this ribosomal RNA (730 nucleotides) under Arthrobacter sp. Its description in RNAcentral is "bacterial SSU rRNA". It matches the Rfam family "Bacterial small subunit ribosomal RNA", at positions 85 to 828 of the family's 1533-position model. Lineage: Bacteria; Bacillati; Actinomycetota; Actinomycetes; Micrococcales; Micrococcaceae. The record is from RNAcentral.
GGGUGGAUUAGUGGCGAACGGGUGAGUAACACGUGAGUAACCUGCCCUUGACUCUGGGAUAAGCCUGGGAAACUGGGUCUAAUACCGGAUAUGACUCCUCAUCGCAUGGUGGGGGGUGGAAAGCUUUUUGUGGUUUUGGAUGGACUCGCGGCCUAUCAGCUUGUUGGUGAGGUAAUGGCUUACCAAGGCGACGACGGGUAGCCGGCCUGAGAGGGUGACCGGCCACACUGGGACUGAGACACGGCCCAGACUCCUACGGGAGGCAGCAGUGGGGAAUAUUGCACAAUGGGCGCAAGCCUGAUGCAGCGACGCCGCGUGAGGGAUGACGGCCUUCGGGUUGUAAACCUCUUUCAGUAGGGAAGAAGCGAAAGUGACGGUACCUGCAGAAGAAGCGCCGGCUAACUACGUGCCAGCAGCCGCGGUAAUACGUAGGGCGCAAGCGUUAUCCGGAAUUAUUGGGCGUAAAGAGCUCGUAGGCGGUUUGUCGCGUCUGCCGUGAAAGUCCGGGGCUCAACUCCGGAUCUGCGGUGGGUACGGGCAGACUAGAGUGAUGUAGGGGAGACUGGAAUUCCUGGUGUAGCGGUGAAAUGCGCAGAUAUCAGGAGGAACACCGAUGGCGAAGGCAGGUCUCUGGGCAUUAACUGACGCUGAGGAGCGAAAGCAUGGGGAGCGAACAGGAUUAGAUACCCUGGUAGUCCAUGCCGUAAACGUUGGGCACUAGGUGUGGGGG